This 7701-nucleotide long non-coding RNA is filed under the name Arachis ipaensis. RNAcentral's name for it is "long non-coding RNA (AIPA_LNC000195)". The record is from RNAcentral. Lineage: Eukaryota; Viridiplantae; Streptophyta; Magnoliopsida; Fabales; Fabaceae.
GGCCAUGGAAACUACCUCUCAUAGGGAACCUGCAUCAACUUGCAGGCUCACUUCCACACCAUGCUCUCAGAAAACUAGCAAACAAACACGGUCCACUCAUGCACCUUCAACUGGGUCAGAAUUCUGUAGUGAUUGUUUCAUCCCCCAACAUGGCCAGAGAAAUCAUGAAGACGCAUGAUCUUGCUUUUGCAGACAGGCCUGAGUUCCUUCCUUCCAAGAUCAUGGCAUACGGAUCAAUAGACAUUGCGUUCGCUCCCUAUGGCCAAUACUGGAGACAGAUGAGGAAGAUAUGUACACUUGAGGUUCUAAGUUCAAAGAAGGUUCAGUCUUUCUCCUUUAUCCGAGAAGAGGAGGUAGCUAACACAGUAGAAACAAUUCGCACAGCUGCUGGUGCAACCAUCAAUCUCAGUAAAAUGAUUAACAAUCUGAUAAGCACUGUGGUUUCUAGAGCUGUGUUUGGCAACAUAUCAGAAGACCAUGAACAGUUUGUGUCCUUUGUGAAGGAAUCAAUAGCGUUAUCCGAUGGAUUUGACCUUGCAGAUUUGUUUCCUUCCUUGAAGCCUCUGCAUUUCAUCACUGGUUUUGAAGCCAAACUGAAGAAGAUGCAUGUAAAGGUCGACAAGAUCUUGGACAAGAUCAUAAAGGAGAAUGAAGCAAGGAAAUUGGAAGGUACAAACCAACAAGAACAAGAAGAAAAGAAUGAGAAUCUCGUUGAGGUUCUUUUAAGAGUCUUACAUAGUGGCACCCUUGACACCCAAAUUACGCUCAACAAUGUCAAAGCAGUCAUUUGGGUUAGUAUGUCUACAUUUCUAGCUCCAUUUACAUACAAUUUCUUAUGAUAACUAAUCCCUUGAAACUAUGAUGUAGGACAUAUUUGCUGCUGGAACAGACACUUCAGGAGUAGUUAUAGAGUGGGUUAUGUCGGAAUUGAUGAGAAAUCCCAGAGCUAUGAAGAAGGUACAGGCUGAGAUUCGACAAGCUUUGAAAGAAAAGCAAACAAUCCGGGAGGCAGAUCUAACAGAGCUUCGCUACUUGAAGGCUGUGAUCAGCGAAACAAUGAGGUUACACCCUCCUCUUCCUCUGUUGCUUCCAAGACAAUCCAGAGAAGAGCGCUUCAUCCAUGGAUACCAUCUACCUAUCAAUACUAAAGUCAUGGUAAAUGCCUAUGUGCUCGGAAGAGAUCCCGAUUACUGGUGUGAUGCAGAAACCUUCCUACCAGAAAGGUUUCAGGACACUCCAAUGGAUUUCAAAGGGACAAACUUUGAGUACAUCCCUUUUGGAGCAGGAAGGAGAGCUUGUCCCGGACUUACCUUUGGUUUAGCCAACGUGGAGUUUGCUCUAGCUAUGCUACUCUACCACUUCAACUGGGAACUCCCUAAAGGAAUUAAGCCAGAGGAUUUGGAUAUGAAUGAAGCACAAGGAGCUGUGGUUGGAAGGAAAAACAACCUUUACUUGAUUCCCCAACCUUACCAUUCUUAGCUUCACGAAUCAUGAUAGUGCCUAAUAAAUAAUAUCAUGUGUAUUCUUACAUUUGCUAUGUAUUGCCAAAGUUAAUUUAUCAAUUUAGACGUAAGCUUUUAAAAGAUAAUAGCAAUUGUAAUAAAAGCUAAUGCUGGCAUUGACUAUUGAGAACAAGGAACAAUUACACUGGCAGAAAUCAGAUUGGCAUCAUAAUUCAAGCAUUACUACAUAUUCAAAGUGAACAUUGUAAUGAAUUUGAAAACUAUUAGAAUAGCCAAGAAAGAGUGGGGGAGAAUGGGGUAGGCAGGUUGUUAAAUUUUUUAAGAAACUGUUAGGUACCAGAUAAAUGACACAGCAAAAUAUAGAGAUGAAAAAUUAAAAAUUUGUAUAAAAUAUGGAAACAAUUGAAUAACUUUCUUUGAGAAUUACAACUUCUCUCUAUCACAAGGAGACUACAAAACACUCUCUCUUGACAAAAGGAGAACACACUUCUCUCUAUAUCCCUUAAAGCUAAUUUUGAUAAAUUUUCAAAAUUCAUGUUGCUCAUGUAUUCCAUAGGCCGUAUAAGGAUCUACACCAUUCAAACUUUUCUGUGUUGAUUGGUUUUGUCAUGGCAUCUGUUAGGUUAUCUUUAGUGUGAAUCUUCUGCAUAUCAACACUUCCUUCUUCUACUACUUCCCGAACAAAGUGAUAUUGUACUCCAAUGUGUUUUGUUCUUGAAUGAAAGGCAGGAUUCCUUGCAAUGUGCAAGGCAAUCUGACUAUCACAAUACAUAGAAAUCUUCUGUUGUUUGUGCCUGAGUUCUUCUAUCAACCUUUGGAUCAAAAUAGCUUCCUUGCAUGCUUGUUUCUUCAAAUAAUUCUUUUGCGAUAGCCAAAUCUUCCUAUCCUUUUUGUCUCGGUGAAUUUGCAUCCCUAAAAUCUUGUUUGCUGGUCCCAAGUCUUUCAUAUCAAACUCCCUAGCCAACUGUGCCUUCAAUUCUUGGAUUUGAUCUUUGUUGGGACCUACCACCAACAUGUCAUCCACAUACAACAGCAGAAUGAUGAAAUCAUUAUCACCAGACCUCUUGUAAUAAGUACAAUGAUCUGAACUAAGUCUGUUGUAUCCAAGGCUAAUAAUGAAAGAAUCAAAUCUCUUAUACCAACACCUUGGCGCCUGCUUUAGACUGUACAGAGAUUUAGUUAACCUGCAAACCAAGUUUUCUUUUCCUUUUUCUUCAAAACCUUCUGGUUGGAGCAUAUAUAUCUCUUCUUCAAGUUUUCCAUGAAGAAAAGCAGUCUUUACAUCUAAUUGCUCUAGAUGUAAAUCAAAUGCAGCACACAUAGCCAAAACUACUCUAAUAGUAGUUAGUCUCACCACUGGAGAAAAUAUUUCAUUGAAGUCAAUACCUUCUUUCUGAGCAUAUCCCUUGACAACCAAUCUUGCACGAUAUCGUUCCACCUGAUCAUUACUAUCUCGUUUGAUCUUGUAAACCCAUUUGUUACCAAUGGCUUUCCGACCUGCUGGAAGUUCAACAAGUUUCCAGGUAUGGUUUCUAUGUAAUGCCUCAAUUUCUUCUUGCAUUUCUGUCAUCCACAUAGAAGCGUCUGGAAUGCGCAUAGCCUCCAUAAAAGUUGUUGGCUCUCAAUCUUCUGUCAAAAGACAAUAUGCAUCAUGGUUUGUUAAAACAUAAUUUGAGUGCCAUGAUGGGGUUCUUCUUUGUCGAGUGGAUCGACGAACUUCUAUGUCAUUGGCAUCUGCUUCUUGUUCUUCGUGCUGUGGUUCUACUUCAGAAAGAUCAUCUUCUCUGCAUUUUUCAUCUAUUUGAACAGUGGUUAUCUCUUUAACAGUACUGUCAUUUUCUUGUUCCUUUUUCAAUUCAUCUUCUGCAAAUAUUACAUCUCUACUGACAACUACCUUGCGGGCAGUGGGAUCCCACAGGCGAUACCCCUUAACUCCGUCAGUAUAACCCAAGAAUAUACAUUUUUUAGACUUUGGAUCUAGCUUUGUUCUUUCCUGGGAAUUGUACAUCACGUACACAAGACAACCAAAUAUAUAUAAAGAAGAAUAAUUAGGUGGCUUACCUUGCCACAUCUCCAUUGGUGUCUUUAACCCAAUUGCAGUUGAUGGUGACCUAUUUAUCACAUAACAGGCGGUUUUAACAGCUUCUGCCCAAAAAGACUUGGCUAAACCUGCAGUUUGCAACAUAGCUCGUGCUCUUUCUAGGAGAGUCAUAUUCAUUCGCUCUGCUACACCAUUUUGCUGAGGCGUAUAUGCAACUGUGAAUUGUCGUUGAAUACCUGCUUGCUUGCAAAAUGUUAGAAAAUCACUAUCAACAUAUUCUCCUCCAUUAUCUGCCUCUUGCAAAGUAUCUCCCACAAGCAUGUAUAGAUUUGCUGCCAUCUUUUCUUCUUUUAUUACUACAAGAGCUCCUUUAACAACUUUUAAGAUCCCACCUUCAAUAUGGGUCUUACAACCAAGUUCAUCCAAUUGCCCAAUCGACAACAAAUUCUUCUUCAAGCCUUUCACGUGUCUUACCCCUUGAAGUGAAUGAAUAGAACCAUCAAACAUUUUUAUUUUGACAGUACCCAUUCCAACAAUUUCUAAGGCAUGAUCGUUUCCCAUAAACACAAAUCCUUCCAAGACAGGUUCAUAUGUACAAAACUAAUCACGAUGAGGAGUCAUGUGCCAUGUUGCUCCUAAAUCAACAAUCCAAACAUCAGUGAGCUGUUUACUGCCUUUAGAACCAAUUGUUGCUUCGCCAUACAGGAUUUCUCCAUCAUCAGAGGUACUUGCAACACAUCCUUGAGAACUUGAUCCUUCUGGAACCUUCUCUAUACUCUUCUUAUUCCAACAAUCUUUCUUGAAGUGCCCUUUCUUACCACAAUUGUAGCAUUUGACCUGCUUCUUACUUUGUGACUUUGGUCUACUUUGACUCCCACUGAAACCACGCUCCAUUGAUCUCCCUCUUGUCAUCAACAAAGCCUCUGCUUGUUUUGAGCUUUCUAAUCUAUCUUCCUUAUUCUUGCGUCUAGAUUCUUCUUCAAGAACUGCAGCAGCCAUGUCAUCAAAAGAAAGAUAAUUAGUCAAAACAUUAUUAGUUAAGUUAAUGAUAAGCUGAUCAUAUGAAUCUGGUAGACUUUGAAGUAAGAGCUCUGCACGUUCGUUUUCCGCUAUGGUAUAUUCCAACGAUGAGAGUUGGGAAAAUAGUGUAUUUAGAUUGUUGAUGUGAUCCGUUGCCGAUGUGGAUUCAUUCAUUCGAAGAGUAUAAAGUCUUCUCUUCAAGAAUAUCUUGUUGUGAAGUGACUUGACUUCAUAUAAUUUGGUGAGAGCAUCCUAAAUUUCCUUUGCUGUCUUUUUCUCUGCUACACUAGAUAAAAUUGAAUCAGCUAGUGCCAAGUGUAAGUUUGCAACAGCAUUGUUGUCCAUCUCCUUCCAUUUUUCAUCUGUAAUUCCAGUGGGUCUACCUUCAAUUGCUGUCACGCAAUUGUCUUUUCUCAUAAUGGCUUUUAUCUUCAAUUUCCAUAUAGAAAAAUUACUCCUACUGAAUUUCAGAAUUUCAUACUUUGCUGCUAUUUUUUUUAGACAGUAACUCGCAGCGAAAAAAAAAUAUAUUAAUCAGCAACCUUUGGCUCUGAUACCACUGUUAGGUACCAGACAAAUGACACAACAAAAUAUAGAGAUGAAAAAUUAGAAAUUUGUAUAAAAUAUGGAAACAAUUGAAUAACUUUCUUUGAGAAUUACAACUUCUCUCUAUCACAAGGAGACUACAAAACACUCUCUCUUGACAAAAGGAGAACACACUUCUCUCUCUAUAUAUAUAGGAGAAAACUAUUCAAAGAAAUAUUAUGUUAUUCUAUCUGGAUGACUUGAUUGAAAUGAAUUAAAGAAAAACUCAAUUUAUAGGUGAGUCUCUUCAAUAUGAACCAUCCAUCAAUUAGAGGUAUAUAAUUCUUCUCUUUUUCAACUACUAAAAUUCUAAGGUUAUAAACUAAGAUUGUUUAUUACCUCUCAUUUUAUUUAGUUAUUAUUUAUUUAUAUAUUUUCUAAAAUUAGCUUUACUAAUUUUCACAGAAACCAUGGUAGUUCAUAAGCCUACCAACCUGCAUUCUUGUUUUUGUUACCGCCAUACAAACGGAGAGGCUAAAAGCCGAAAUACAAGAGAGGAUCACCAUGCUGAGGCUAACCGCUAACCACAACAACAGAAGCUAUCCCUUCUCCCACUUGGUUGCAGAAUUUCUCAUACAUGUUGCAAACCUUUAUCCACUGAAAUUCAGAUUGCCCUGCCUUUGCAAACACCGCUGAUUGCAGCGAUGCUUCUACUUCCGCCCCAGUCACAUAUGCCAUUACCUGUAUAUGUAGACCAAGUUCAACAUACCUUUCUGAUAAAUGUUAUAUUUGAGAGUUCAUUCAACUCAAGAUGAAUAUAAAGCUUUCCUUGGAUAAAAUACUUCAUAAAUCCUAACCCAUUGUCUUACUAAUGCUUGUCUGAACCCAGCAAGACAAAGGAAAUUAAAUGCUCUCAUUGAUCAAACAACACACAUUUUUUUUUUCGGAUGGAAGUGGACCGGACUACUCAACGGAGACGCAAAACUUGACUCGUUUUAGAUUUGGCUCAACUCGAUUCAUUUUAUUAAACAAGUCAGACUUGAACCUGAUGUAAAGUUUAGCCUGUUAAUUAAAAAUUAAAAAGAUCAUGUUAUAAGUUUUUUAAAAAAAAAACUACAAAAAUUUGUUGGAUUGGCUUGGCUCGUUGAAUACACUACACGGUAAUUUAAUGCUACUAAUUAAAUUUACUCUUUUAACCCCAUUAAUUCACAUUGUUUACACAUUGUUCAAAAAUCUUGUUAGUUACCUAUACUUUUUCAUAUUUUAAAAAGGGGAGUGUUAGGUAAACAAUGACUUUCUUGAACAACAUGAACAACCACCAAUCAAAUAAAAACACACUACACCUCUAAAUUACUCACUUAAAUCUUAAUAUUAAAAUAAUCAUUCGUACACCUAGUAAAAUGAACAUCUGAUUUACAUUGUUUAGUAUUUUCAUUGUUUACCUAUACUUUUCCUUUUAAAAAAUAUAAAUUAUUUUUAAUUUGGACUUUUAACUAUUUAUUUAUAUUAAAUAUAAAACAAAACAAAAAAAAUUAAUGGCAAAAAUUAAUUAAGAUUGUAAUUUUUUUAAAGAAAAAAUUUAUAUAUUAUAAGUACGGUUAUGAUAUGUGAUUAAUGAUUAAUACAUAACAAACUAUGAAUUAUAAAUUUUAGAAUACAUUUAAUAUUAAUUUAAAAUUUUUAAAUUUAUUGUUAGGAGUUAUAAUUCACGAAACAGACUUUUCAAAUAAACUGGUGGACUGAUUGAACUUUAAAUAAACUGACCUAAAACUUGAAAAAAAUACCUAAAAAAAAUAAUGUCUAAACGGAAUCAAUUUAUUUACAACAUAAACGAGACAACGAUAUAAUUAUAAAUGUAUUUCAUCUAUAUCGUCAACAAAAUAUAUUUUAAAAAAAUUAUAAUUUUUUCGUGUGCAAACUAUAAAUUUUUUUUUCUCGUAUUUACGUUUAUAAAUUAUAAUUAUCCCGUUUUUAUUACUAACAAAAUAAGUAACAAAAAGAGAAAGUAGCAAUUUUUUCAGAACAUCUCUAUAUUUCCUAAAUGUUAUAUUUAUUUAAAUAAAAAACCCACCAUUAAAUACAGUCAACAAAAAAGCAAAAUAUUAAAUAUGGUCAACUCAACAAGCUACCUGCCUCGUGCAUGUCGAAGUCAAUCUCCAAACCCCAAAGGCACCUUAGGCAGCACACAAAACAAGGCAAAUAAAAUGCACUAUAAACAAAGAUGAAUCGGUUGCAUGCACAAGUACAUUCAUAAGUGAAAGCAUCCUUCAAACACAGAAUUAGAUCUGCCAAUAUGGAAGUUAGUUCAUCCAUGGCGUUUAUCAUAAUAAGCUUCCUUCUCUCUUUGCUAUUGCUAUGGCACGCAAAGAAGGGUAAGAGUGUCCAUAAAGUACCACCUGGGCCAUGGAAACUACCUCUCAUAGGGAACCUUCAUCAACUUGCAGGCUCAUCACUUCCACACCAUGCCCUCAGAAAACUAGCAAACAAACACGGUCCAUUCAUGCACCUUCAACUGGGUCAGAUUUCAGCUGUGAUUGUCUCAUCCCCCAACAUGGCCAGAGAAAUCAUGAAGACUCAUGAUCUUGCUUUUGCAGACAGGCCUGAGUUCCUUCCUUCAAAGAUCUUAGUCUAUGGAUCAGCUGAUAUUACAUU